Molecule: ribosomal RNA, 460 nt
Filed under: Nocardia sp. 13-013
Lineage: Bacteria; Bacillati; Actinomycetota; Actinomycetes; Mycobacteriales; Nocardiaceae
Description: bacterial SSU rRNA
Rfam family: Bacterial small subunit ribosomal RNA
Source: RNAcentral
CGAAGCCGCUGGCGGCGUGCUUAACACAUGCAAGUCGAGCGGUAAGGCCCUUCGGGGUACACGAGCGGCGAACGGGUGAGUAACACGUGGGUGAUCUGCCCUGUACUUCGGGAUAAGCCUGGGAAACUGGGUCUAAUACCGGAUAUGACCUUACAUCGCAUGGUGUUUGGUGGAAAGAUUUAUCGGUACAGGAUGGGCCCGCGGCCUAUCAGCUUGUUGGUGGGGUAAUGGCCUACCAAGGCGACGACGGGUAGCCGGCCUGAGAGGGCGACCGGCCACACUGGGACUGAGACACGGCCCAGACUCCUACGGGAGGCAGCAGUGGGGAAUAUUGCACAAUGGGCGAAAGCCUGAUGCAGCGACGCCGCGUGAGGGAUGACGGCCUUCGGGUUGUAAACCUCUUUCGACAGGGACGAAGCGCAAGUGACGGUACCUGUAGAAGAAGCACCGGCCAACUACG